Molecule: ribosomal RNA, 380 nt
Filed under: uncultured eukaryote
Lineage: Eukaryota
Description: partial 18S ribosomal RNA
Rfam family: Eukaryotic small subunit ribosomal RNA
Source: RNAcentral
CAAUAACGUAUAUUAAAGUUGUUGCAGUUAAAAAGCUCGUAGUUGGAUUUCUGGUUGAAGCGACCGGUCGGGCGUUGAUUCGUCUGCACUGGAGUCGGUUUUGGCCAUCCUCUAGGAAAGUGCGUCUGGUAUUAAGUUAUCGGGCGUAUGAUCCUGGUCUUUUACUGUGAAAAAAUUAGAGUGUUUAAAGCAGGCCUUCGCCUUGAAUACAUUAGCAUGGAAUAAUAAGAUAAGACUUUGGUGCUAUUUUGUUGGUUGAGCCUAAAGUAAUGAUUAAUAGGGAUAGUUGGGGGCACCUGUAUUGCGUUGUCAGAGGUGAAAUUCUUGGAUUUACGCAAGACAAACAGCUGCGAAAGCGUCUGCCAAGGAUGUUUUCAUUA